Molecule: ribosomal RNA, 510 nt
Filed under: Ilybius picipes
Lineage: Eukaryota; Metazoa; Arthropoda; Insecta; Coleoptera; Dytiscidae
Description: partial 16S ribosomal RNA
Rfam family: Bacterial large subunit ribosomal RNA
Source: RNAcentral
GUCCUUUAGAAUUUAAUUUAAGGUUUAACCUGCCCACUGAUUUAUUGAAGGGCCGCAGUAAUUUGACUGUGCAAAGGUAGCAUAAUCAUUAGUUUUUUAAUUAAAAGCUUGUAUGAAGGGUUGGACGAGGUAAAUUCUGUCUCUAAAUAAUUUAUUUUAGAAUUUAAUUUUUAAGUUAAAAAGCUUAGAUAUAUUUAAAAGACGAGAAGACCCUAUAGAUCUUUAUAUUAUAUUUAUUAAUUUGGUUAAAGAUUGAUUUAUUUUUUAAGUAAAUAUAUUAUUUUAUUGGGGUAAUAAAAAGAUUUAAGAAAUUCUUUUUUUAUUUAUACAUUGAUAGAUGAUUUUAUGAUCCAUUAUUAUUGAUUAAAAGAUUAAGUUACCUUAGGGAUAACAGCGUAAUUUUUUUUGAGAGUUCAUAUCGAUAAAAAAGUUUGCGACCUCGAUGUUGGAUUAAAAAUUAUUUUAGGUGUAGAAGCUUGAAAAUUUGGUCUGUUCGACCAUUAAAUUUUU